UUAGUUUUUUUCAGCUUUUUAAAACUGUCUGAAUGUUUUUUUCUUUCGUUUUGCAUGAAUUUUAAAUUUUCUGAAUGUUUUUUUUCUAUUUCGGUUUGUAUGAAUUUAAAUUCUAUAAUAUUAUUAGUUUUAAAUUUCAGAUUUUAUUUAUUUAUUAAUUAAUUUUUCAUAUAAAAAAUAUAUAUAAAAAUGCAAAAUUAAUUCGUAUUAUUAAAAUUGACAUUUUCCGACGAACUAAGUUCUCGGUAAAUACCGACGGAGUAUGACUCGUCGGUAAAUACCGACGGACUAUGAUUCGUCGGAACAUACCGACGAAUGGUGAGUCGUCGGAAUUUACCGACGAAUCGUAAUCCGUCGGUAUUUACCGACGAGUCAUAUUCCGUCGGUAUUUACCGACGAAUCAGACUCCGUCGGUAUUUACCGAGAACUUAGUUCGUCGGAAUCUUCGGAGGAUCCGUCUCCGUCGGUAUAUAGUUUUUCCGAUGAACUCUAGUCUCGUGUGUCCGCAUCGGAAUAUUGUCGGAAGUUCGUCAGAAUGUUAUUUCUCGGUAUUCGUCAGAAAGUCGUCGGAAAUUCUGACGAAAUUCCGACGAAUUCUUUUUUUCCGACGAAAUGAUACCGACGAACGCCUUCGUCAGAAAUGCGUCGGAAUAGGCCUUUUCCGACGAACUUCCGACGAUUUUGGCCAUCAGAAUCUCUUUGUUUUCUUGUAGUGGUGUAUCGGGUCCAUUCUCGAUCACUGAAGAGGCUCCGUUUUCUACGAAGUUCUUCUCUCCAGUCUGAUUCUGUUCCAGGAGUUGUGAUUGAUGCUCCUCUACUAUGCUCUUUGAGAAUCAGUGACGGUGUAUCAAAAAUGUUUAUAGUAAAGGAUAUGAAGUGCAAUGCUAAGCUAGAUAUCUCUUUCGACUUUGGUUUGGAGGCUUUUGACGAAUCAAAUGUUUCAUCAAUAAGCCACAUACGCAAUUUUCUGUCUGGGAUCUCGAGGGUUAGGGAUAUGACUAUAUCUGCGUUCACUUUCGAGAUCAUUCAUCACUAUUCCAAACUAGAACCCCUGCCUCGGUUUGACUGCAUGACCCGCCUGGAUGUUAUAGUUUGUGCAUCUAUUUACAAUGGUUGCCAACUUUUCUUGAGCGCUGCCCGAAUCUGACAUCCCUCGAACUGGUAAUGAUCAUCGACUUUUUUUCAUACCUUUGAAGAUUCCAUGCAUCUUCUCAUUGUGUUCUAAUCCUCUCUUUUCUCUUUAGGAAUUGCGCAAUGAUGAGGAAAUGCAUCCCAGGGAGAUGAAUCAAAUAAGUUUUUCAUCUGUGCCUGUGUAUCAUCUCUAGAGUUUGUUGAUUUCGCAAUCUGGGGACAUUUUCCAGAAAUGAAGCUAGUCAGGUACUUACUAGAGAGUUCAACAAGCCUCAAGAAACUCACUCUAAAUGUCAACCAUGAUUCAAUAGAUUAUGACAUCUUCUAUGAACUACUGAAAAUUCCAAGACGCUCAACCAUAUGUGAAGUCGUCGUUGUUGAUUUCUAAGCAUGUGACGAUUAUUAUGAUUAAAUCAGUUUGAUGUGGUAAAUUCUUUUGCCAUACAAGGAAUGCAAUUUAGGCGAUUUGGUAUGUUUAUUAUCGUUGGAGUAAAUGAGAUGAAACAUGUUUUAAGGAACAUUUUCAAGACUUCAUGUUGUUCGUUGUUCACUUGUUUGAUAGCCUCUCUUUUUUUUAUUAUCAUCAAAAAUCUGUGUGUAAACGAGUUUUUGACUUUCUUUAUUCUUGGCAAAAGAAAAUUCUAUAUAACAUGCUGAAAUUUGUAUUAUAAUGUGGUUCAUGCUUGUCUUUUAUUCAAAAGUUAAGACGAAGAAACUGCUUCGAAAGUUAAGCAAAAACCAACACGUGUCACUAUUUAUCCUUAUGUUCUAACAGCAUGAGGAGAGACUUAAGUCUACUUUAUUGUUAUAGAUAGAUACAUAUAAAACAAAUUGUAUAAUGAUAUGUCUAUUGCUUCCGACGAGAAAAAUACAGUCCUAUUUCAUUUAAUUUUUUUUUUCUUACAGAAAUCCAGUUCUAAUUACAACCUAUAUAUUUGUUAAAUUUUGAUAUUGUUCAAUAAAGUUGUCAAAAAUUAUAUUAGAUUACUAUUAAACAAAAAUAUAAUUACAAAAAACACAAAUAUAAAAAUAAUUUUUUUAAAAAUAUAAAACAAAAAAUAUACCCGUUCUUUCAAGGACAGAUCAUAAUCUAGUAUUAUAUAUAAAAUUCAAAUGCUAACGAACAUACUAAUAUAACAACAAUAUAUCUAAUUAUAUAAAAAAAUGUUGGAGUCUCUCCCGCAAUGUCCACGUGGAAACUCUUUCAAUUUAGAGGCGACGCGUGUCCGAGAAGUAUGAAACUCAUCGUUUCAUUUACUUUACUUGGAAAUUGGAUGGGCUUAUAUAUCGUUAAUUUUAUAGGCUUCGUUGGGCUUCAUGUUUUAUCCAAGUCUUCGAUCCCGAUAGCAAGUUAGGCUUAUCGUCUCAAACCAAAUUUUAGGGUUCGCAAUCCUCCUCGAUCUCCAACAACGACGAUGUUCAUAGUUCAUAUGUGCUCACCACACCAGCAAUGGAGGAUCUCUGUGUGUCUCUUCAAUCAGCUAGACAUUCUUUCCUACAAACCGUUACGGGAUGCUUUGAUUCAUCUUCAUUAAUGACCGUCUUAACUCAUUCGGCCACUCCAAGCACGUUUCCUCAUUCAAUGCAUCUUCCCUUUGUACAAGGAGGUGAAUCUACAGCUAUAAAAAGCAGAGUCUUUCCUACGGCUUCAAGUGUUUAAGGAAUUGAUAUCAAUCUCGCUUAUGGAUUUCAGACUCACGACUUCCACUUCCUUCAAUCAAGGGGAAGAAGAUUCUGGAGGAGAAAUGGAUAAGUUUGAAGUCAAGCUUUCUAGAAGGAAGAAUUGGAUCACAUGUUAGUCUAAACUUCAUGAAUAAUAUGCGUCUGGGAUUUUAUGUCUCUUUGUGGGACAGGUUACUUUGUUCUCUAAGCAGUAUAAGUAGAACUUUGAAGCAUAGAUUUUUUUUUUGGUUAUUGUGAUUUCAGCCAUCUGUUCUUCAUAUUUUCUUUACACAUUUUUCAUUCUAGAAUGGAGACUUUAAUCAGAUCAAACAAAUCAACCACACAAAUUUUGUAGAUAUUGUUUUGUUGUAGCAUUCGUUUUACUCUGCACUUGAAGUUGUGAUGCUGGUUGCUACCUCGCGAUCGCGAUUAAACUACGAUGACAUCGUUUUUAUGCCAUACGCCAACUUAGACUGAGAUGGAAACUUUCAUUUGCUUAAAGUAUUAGGUCUUCAAACUUCAUAUCCUGUUUAUUUCUUUGGUAUCUUCGUUUCCAGAAAUUGAUGUUUCUCAUUCAGAUGGCUUUGUCUGGGUGUCAAUUGACUGAAUGGAAUAAGCAUUCUUCUGCGAAGGAGGUGAUGCACAGGACUCAAAGAGACAUGUAUGUUCAUGAAAGAAACAAUGAAGGUCUCAUUUCAUUUCUUACUCUGGAAUAAAUAUUGCAACUGGAUCUUUGCAUUUUUUAAACCUGAUCUCAAAGUUUUGUUCUUUAAUAAAUUUUCUUUUCUUUUGUGCUAAGCACAUACUCCACUACUGCACGCACAGGUUCACAUGUAAGGCUUUGGCCCACAGCCACUGGCUGGCGCCGGUCCAUCAGCAGCGCCGAGCUCAAAGGCAGUUAAAAGAUGUGAGUUGAAGUAUGAUCAUGAACGUAUAUGACUUGAUAGAUUUUGGCCAAUGAAGUCAAGAAUCUAACGUUUGUCACUUAGGAAGACUGCUAACGACUUUGACGAAGUUAUGAGGUAAUAAUUCUUUUCGCCAUGACAUGCGUUGGUGGAAGGAGGACGAUUCUGCAUCAUCUUCUUUGCGUCAAGUUUUUCCUUUGGUUUGCUUCAGAGUCAGGGAAAGCAGUGUUAACAUUUAUCUCUUGAACAAGCAGCCAUAAAAUUCUGAAAAAGAAAUUCAAUGCAACUCAGGAAAUGUUAAUCAGAUUGUGAAACGCAAAAGAAUAUGCUGGUUUCAAGUAUGUUUUGGAAACUUUGUUAGAGACUCUUGAUAUGACUUGGUUUCAAAAUAUUAAGAUUACGAUCCA
This is a long non-coding RNA of Brassica napus (rape), 4105 nucleotides long. RefSeq lists it as uncharacterized. The transcript is spliced from 6 exons. The record is from RefSeq and is a predicted model, not a curated record. NCBI's taxonomy places the organism in Eukaryota, Viridiplantae, Streptophyta, Magnoliopsida, Brassicales, Brassicaceae.